CCUGAAACCCUGCACUUACAAGCUGUGGAAGCACAUUUCUUGUGUGACCGCGUACUUUUUGUAGAACGGGCCAACGAGUUACGUUAAGUAGCAAGGUUAAGCACUUAAGGUGCGGAGCCGUAGCGAAAGCGAGUUUUAACUGAGCGUUCAGUUACUGGACGUAGACCCGAAACCGGGCGACCUACCCAUGAGCAGGAUGAAGCGAAAGUAAAAUUUCGUGGAGGUCCGAACCCACGAGCG
Molecule: ribosomal RNA, 240 nt
Filed under: Clostridioides difficile
Lineage: Bacteria; Bacillati; Bacillota; Clostridia; Peptostreptococcales; Peptostreptococcaceae
Description: partial 23S ribosomal RNA
Rfam family: Bacterial large subunit ribosomal RNA
Source: RNAcentral